This 497-nucleotide ribosomal RNA is filed under the name uncultured bacterium. RNAcentral's name for it is "partial 16S ribosomal RNA". It matches the Rfam family "Bacterial small subunit ribosomal RNA", at positions 28 to 507 of the family's 1533-position model. The record is from RNAcentral.
GAUGAACGCUGGCGGCGUGCCUAAUACAUGCAAGUCGAGCGAACGGACGAGAAGCUUGCUUCUCUGAUGUUAGCGGCGGACGGGUGAGUAACACGUGGAUAACCUACCUAUAAGACUGGGAUAACUUCGGGAAACCGGAGCUAAUACCGGAUAAUAUUUUGAACCGCAUGGUUCAAAAGUGAAAGACGGUCUUGCUGUCACUUAUAGAUGGAUCCGCGCUGCAUUAGCUAGUUGGUAAGGUAACGGCUUACCAAGGCAACGAUGCAUAGCCGACCUGAGAGGGUGAUCGGCCACACUGGAACUGAGACACGGUCCAGGCUCCUACGGGAGGCAGCAGUAGGGAAUCUUCCGCAAUGGGCGAAAGCCUGACGGAGCAACGCCGAGUGAGUGAUGAAGGUCUUCGGAUCGUAAAACUCUGUUAUUAGGGAAGAACAUAUGUGUAAGUAACUGUGCACAUCUUGACGGUACCUAAUCAGAAAGCCACGGCUAACUACGUG